RNAcentral lists this long non-coding RNA (313 nucleotides) under Glycine max (soybean). RNAcentral describes it as "long non-coding RNA (GMAX_LNC000360)". The record is from RNAcentral. Lineage: Eukaryota; Viridiplantae; Streptophyta; Magnoliopsida; Fabales; Fabaceae.
GAAACUCGAUGGAUCACAGCACAAGGGGUGGCGGUGAUUGUUUGUGGUCAUAGUGUGUUGUAAGUUGUAACAGAGGAGUAAGAGUAACAUUGGUUGUCGGCAAUAAUGGAAGCUUGGAAGGAGUAUGUCGGCGGCGGUCGUUGGUUUCGGGGUGUUGGAUUAUGACGGCUAAGACAUACCAACGUACGUCCUUGAGUUUAAUUUGCGGAGACUCAAUUAAGGUCAUGGUCUCACACGGUUUUUGGUCUUUGAUGUAUGCAUGCCUGUGUUUUCUUAUUUUCUUAUUUUUCGUAGGAGGGCAAUGACAUUAUCC